AUACCGGUUGGGUCAUGGUUGCGUCGGCGCUGGUCUUGCUGAUGACCUUGCCGGGCAUCGCCCUGUUCUAUGCGGGGCUGGUGCG
Molecule: transfer RNA, 85 nt
Filed under: Comamonas testosteroni
Lineage: Bacteria; Pseudomonadati; Pseudomonadota; Betaproteobacteria; Burkholderiales; Comamonadaceae
Also listed under: 1 other name
Description: tRNA-Thr(ggt)
Source: RNAcentral